AUUUAUAUAGUUUAAAAAAAACAAUACAUUUUCAUUGUAAAAAUAAUAUAUCCCCAUAUUUAUAAAUU
RNAcentral lists this transfer RNA (68 nucleotides) under Cyphoderris monstrosa. RNAcentral describes it as "tRNA-Glu". The record is from RNAcentral. Lineage: Eukaryota; Metazoa; Arthropoda; Insecta; Orthoptera; Prophalangopsidae.